Non-coding RNA from Rattus norvegicus (Norway rat), 58 nucleotides. Lineage: Eukaryota; Metazoa; Chordata; Mammalia; Rodentia; Muridae. The record is from Rfam.
UGAUGUCCCUCACCCAGCCCUGAAGAGCCCAGGUGGGCGAGGGAACAGUCAGCGGAUC